RNAcentral lists this long non-coding RNA (583 nucleotides) under Zonotrichia albicollis (white-throated sparrow). RNAcentral's name for it is "lncRNA (ENSZALG00000001477.1)". The record is from RNAcentral. Lineage: Eukaryota; Metazoa; Chordata; Aves; Passeriformes; Passerellidae.
GGGUUCCCCACUGGAUUUUUGGGCUUCUCUGGACUCAGAAUUUUGGGGUUUAUUGGACUCGGAUUUGGGUUUCCCCAUUGGAUUUUUGGGGUUCCCCCCAUUGGAUUUUUUGGGUUCCCUGGACUCAGAAUUUUGGGAUUCAUUGGACUCGGAAUUCUGGGGUUCCCCAUUGGAUUUUUGGGGUUUCCUGAACUUGGAAUUUUGGGGUUCCCCAUUGGAUUUUUGGGGUUCAUUCGACUCGGAUUUGGGCUUCCCCAUUGGAAUUUUGGGGUUUCCUGAAUUCAGAAUUUUGGGGCUCAUUGGACUCGGAAUUUUGGGGUUCCCCAUUGGAUUUUUGGGGUUCCCCAUUGGAUUUUUGGGGUUCCCUGGACUCAGAAUUUUGGGGUUUCCCACUGAAUUUUUNGGUGGUGAUGGCCUGCGAGAACCAGCACAUGGGAGAGGACAUGGUGCUGGAGCCGGGGCUCGUCAUGAUCUUCGCUCAUGGGGUGGAGGAGAUAUGAGAGGAGUGGUGGAGAUAUGGGGGGUUUGGGGUUGUGAGUGUUGGUUGUGGAGGAGAGAUGAAAAAAAUGCAGUUUGGAGAUAA